Molecule: long non-coding RNA, 808 nt
Organism: Choloepus didactylus (southern two-toed sloth)
Lineage: Eukaryota; Metazoa; Chordata; Mammalia; Pilosa; Megalonychidae
Exons: 3
Source: RefSeq, a predicted model, not a curated record
UACGACUCUAUGCUCAAGCUUUAGAAAUGGGGAUUAUUUUGGUCAUUGAAUCUGAAAACAUCAAGAAGGAACAACUGAGACUUCUGUUAGUUUCUUUAUAUAUCUCACCACAGGUCUGAUCAUGGGCAGCAGUUAAGCCUCCCGAGAUCACUCCAGACUCUGAUGUUUUAUUUCACCCAGAGUAGAAGCGGGUCGCUUACCAACACACAGAGAAAUCUCAAGGAAACCUUGCUCAAACCCACACCCAUGGUUCGGUGGCAUGGAUGGGCUUCCCGUCAAGGUGCACUUGGCCAAGGCCACAGGCACUGAGGCCUUGGGGUGGGAUCUACAGCCUCCAUCUGUGUCCUCACCACCUGUGGUUUCGAGAGUCUCCAAGGGCCUUGUGGAAGAAUUGAGGCAAGGAGAUGCUGAUGUUCGUUGGCCUGGCCCAAUUCCAAGUUUGAUAAUUAGCCGUCCCCCUUCCUCAGUCUUCCUGCCAUUUCCCUGAGACAGACGGGCUCUUGCACAGUUCCUGCUAACUGAGCGAUGCCAAAGAGCCAGCAAAUCCCACCCUUGGGGAAGCUGCAUGUCAAGAUAAACAUUCCUUCCACAUCUCUUGGUAAAUUACUUAGGUUUACCUUGGAGGAAAGGUGUUGAUUUCUAGGGAUAGUAACGGCGUAUUAAGGAGUACUAAAAAAUUAUCCUCAGAUGGUUAGAGGGAAAUACCUGAAGCUGUCAAACUGCAACCCAGUGACCUUGAUUCUCAGAGACGACUAUAUAACUAUGUAGAUUGCAUAGUGUGACUGUGUGACUGUGAAAACCUUGUGGC